RNAcentral lists this small RNA (112 nucleotides) under Mytilus galloprovincialis (Mediterranean mussel). The record is from RNAcentral. Lineage: Eukaryota; Metazoa; Mollusca; Bivalvia; Mytilida; Mytilidae.
UAAGUAUAACUAGAAGAAUGUGGCUAGGUACUUAUACAUCCCUCAAAAAAUUAAGCAAUUUAAAUUUUUUGAGGGAUGUAUAAGUACCUAGCCACAUUCUUCUAGUUAUACU